Molecule: ribosomal RNA, 1016 nt
Filed under: uncultured archaeon
Lineage: Archaea
Description: bacterial SSU rRNA
Rfam family: Archaeal small subunit ribosomal RNA
Source: RNAcentral
UCCGGUUGAUCCUGCCGGACCCCACCGCUAUCGGGAUGGGACUAAGCCAUGCGAGUCGUGCGGCCCGGUCAGCGGGCAGCGGCGUACGGCUCCGUAAUACGUGGUCAACCUACUCGGGGCACCGGGAUACCCGCUGGGAAACUGCGGCUAAUCUCGGAUGGGCGAGGAGGCUUGGAACACCUUCUCGUCGAAAGGCCGGGUUAAUGAUGCUUAGCCCGGCGGCUCCGAAUGGGACCACGGCCGAUCAGGUUGUUGGUGAGGUAACGGCUCACCAAGCCUAAGACCGGUACGGGCCCUGAGAGGGGGAGCCCGGAGAUGGGUACUGAGACACGGACCCAGGCCCUAUGGGGCGCAGCAGGCGAGAAACCUUAGCAAUGUGCGAAAGCACGACUGGGUCAGUCCGAGUGAUUCCUGAUAAAGGAGUCUUUUGCUUGUCCUAAAAGCACAGGUGAAUAAGGGGUGGGCAAGUCUGGUGUCAGCCGCCGCGGUAAUACCAGCACCUCGAGUGGUCAGGACGUUUAUUGGGCCUAAAGCAUCCGUAGCCGGCUUUGCAAGUCUUCGGUUAAAUCCACCUGCUCAACAGAUGGGCCGCUGGAGAUACUACAGAGCUAGGGAGUGGGAGAGGCAGACGGUAUUCAGUGGGUAGGGGUAAAAUCCUCUGAUCCAUUGAGGACCACCAGUGGCGAAGGCGGUCUGCCAGAACACGUUCGACGGUGAGGGAUGAAAGCUGGGGGAGCAAACCGGAUUAGAUACCCGGGUAGUCCCAGCUGUAAACGAUGCAAACUCGGUGAUGCAUUGGCUUAUGGCCAAUGCAGUGCCGCAGGGAAGCCGUUAAGUUUGCCGCCUGGGAAGUACGGACGCAAGUCUGAAACUUAAAGGAAUUGGCGGGGGAGCACCACAAGGGGUGAAGCCUGCGGUUCAAUUGGAGUCAACGCCAGGAAUCUUACCCGGGGAGACAGCAGAAUGAAGGUCAAGCUGAAGACUUUACCAGACAAGCUGAGAGGAGGUGCAUGGCC